This 1629-nucleotide long non-coding RNA is filed under the name Homo sapiens (human). RNAcentral's name for it is "long non-coding RNA NONHSAT179871.1". The record is from RNAcentral. Lineage: Eukaryota; Metazoa; Chordata; Mammalia; Primates; Hominidae.
GCGGCCUGGUGCGCUCGCUUAGCGGGCGACGGAAUCAGACGGACGUGGACGCCCCCGGAGUGGAAGCCGAAGCAGGAGUUGUUGUUGCUGAGGGGCUGCCGCAGCCGCCGCGAGCCUCCGGACAGACGCCAGAGCGAGGAGGGCGCUACGCGACUUGGCAAGAUGACCCAGUUCCUGCCGCCCAACCUUCUGGCCCUCUUUGCCCCCCGUGACCCUAUUCCAUACCUGCCACCCCUGGAGAAACUGCCACAUGAAAAACACCACAAUCAACCUUAUUGUGGCAUUGCGCCGUACAUUCGAGAGUUUGAGGACCCUCGAGAUGCCCCUCCUCCAACUCGUGCUGAAACCCGAGAGGAGCGCAUGGAGAGGAAAAGACGGGAAAAGAUUGAGCGGCGACAGCAAGAAGUGGAGACAGAGCUUAAAAUGUGGGACCCUCACAAUGAUCCCAAUGCUCAGGGGGAUGCCUUCAAGACUCUCUUCGUGGCGAGAGUGAAUUAUGACACAACAGAAUCCAAGCUCCGGAGAGAGUUUGAGGUGUACGGACCUAUCAAAAGAAUACACAUGGUCUACAGUAAGCGGUCAGGAAAGCCCCGUGGCUAUGCCUUCAUCGAGUACGAACACGAGCGAGACAUGCACUCCGCUUACAAACACGCAGAUGGCAAGAAGAUUGAUGGCAGGAGGGUCCUUGUGGACGUGGAGAGGGGCCGAACCGUGAAGGGCUGGAGGCCCCGGCGGCUAGGUGAGCCUCGGUGGUACCAGAAGAGGAGGGGCUGAUGUGAACAUCCGGCAUUCAGGCCGCGAUGACACCUCCCGCUACGAUGAGAGGCCCGGCCCCUCCCCGCUUCCGCACAGGGACCGGGACCGGGACCGUGAGCGGGAGCGCAGAGAGCGGAGCCGGGAGCGAGACAAGGAGCGAGAACGGCGACGCUCCCGCUCCCGGGACCGGCGGAGGCGCUCACGGAGUCGCGACAAGGAGGAGCGGAGGCGCUCCAGGGAGCGGAGCAAGGACAAGGACCGGGACCGGAAGCGGCGAAGCAGCCGGAGUCGGGAGCGGGCCCGGCGGGAGCGGGAGCGCAAGGAGGAGCUGCGUGGCGGCGGUGGCGACAUGGCGGAGCCCUCCGAGGCGGGUGACGCGCCCCCUGAUGAUGGGCCUCCAGGGGAGCUCGGGCCUGACGGCCCUGACGGUCCAGAGGAAAAGGGCCGGGAUCGUGACCGGGAGCGACGGCGGAGCCACCGGAGCGAGCGCGAGCGGCGCCGGGACCGGGAUCGUGACCGUGACCGUGACCGCGAGCACAAACGGGGGGAGCGGGGCAGUGAGCGGGGCAGGGAUGAGGCCCGAGGUGGGGGCGGUGGCCAGGACAACGGGCUGGAGGGUCUGGGCAACGACAGCCGAGACAUGUACAUGGAGUCUGAGGGCGGCGACGGCUACCUGGCUCCGGAGAAUGGGUAUUUGAUGGAGGCUGCGCCGGAGUGAAGAGGUCGUCCUCUCCAUCUGCUGUGUUUGGACGCGUUCCUGCCCAGCCCCUUGCUGUCAUCCCCUCCCCCAACCUUGGCCACUUGAGUUUGUCCUCCAAGGGUAGGUGUCUCAUUUGUUCUGGCCCCUUGGAUUUAAAAAUAAAAUUAAUUUCC